MicroRNA precursor from Mandrillus leucophaeus (drill), 92 nucleotides. NCBI's taxonomy places the organism in Eukaryota, Metazoa, Chordata, Mammalia, Primates, Cercopithecidae. The record is from Ensembl.
GCAUUCUAUUAGGUUGGUGCAAAAGUAAUUGCGGUUUUUGCCAUUACUUUCAAUAGCAAAAACUGCAAUUACUUUUGCACCAACCUAAUACU